Non-coding RNA from Suricata suricatta (meerkat), 509 nucleotides. The record is from the annotation of a RefSeq genome assembly. Lineage: Eukaryota; Metazoa; Chordata; Mammalia; Carnivora; Herpestidae.
CCCAGCCCCAGAGUCCCAGAUGAUCCCAUUCUGUGAUCAGGACAGAACACAGACAUCUCACCAUGGAGUUUGUGCUUGGCUGGGUUUUCCUUGUUGCUGUUCUAAAAGGUGUCCAGUGUGAGGUGCAGCUGGUGGAGUCUGGGGGAGGCCUGGUGAAGCCUGGAGGCUCCCUGAGACUCUCCUGUGCAGCCUCCGGAUUCAACUUUGGAAAUCACUACAUGCACUGGGUCCGCCAGGCUCCAGAGAAGGGGCUGGAGUGGAUUGCAGCAAUUGGUAGUAGUGAAAACACAUAUUAUUCAGGUUCCGUGAAGGGCCGAUUCACCAUCUCCAGGGACAACGCCAAGAAUACAGUGGAUCUGCAGAUGAACAGCCUGAGGCCCGAGGACACGGCCACGUAUUUCUGUGCGAUAGACACAGUGCACAUGGAGGUUACAAGCAGGGUUCUUGUGAGGAUCUGGGGCUUCCUCUCCAUACAGCAUUUCCCCCAGGGACCUUCUCUGGACAGAUGA